This 292-nucleotide ribosomal RNA is filed under the name uncultured Lachnospiraceae bacterium. RNAcentral describes it as "partial 16S ribosomal RNA". The stretch from base 50 to 292 matches the Rfam family "Bacterial small subunit ribosomal RNA", at positions 100 to 339 of the family's 1533-position model. The record is from RNAcentral. Lineage: Bacteria; Bacillati; Bacillota; Clostridia; Lachnospirales; Lachnospiraceae.
AAGCGCUUUGGAAAGAUUCUUCGGAUGAUUUCCUUUGUGACUGAGCGGCGGACGGGUGAGUAACGCGUGGGUAACCUGCCUCAUACGAGGGGGAUAACAGUUAGAAAUGACUGCUAAUACCGCAUAAGACCACGGUACCGCAUGGUACAGUAGGUAAAAACUCCGGUGGUAUGAGAUCGGACCCGCGUCUGAUUAGGUUAGUUGGUGGGGUAACGGCCUACCAAGCCGACGAUCAGUAGCCGACCUGAGAGGGUGACCGGCCACAUUGGGACUGAGACACGGUCCAAACUCC